RNAcentral lists this ribosomal RNA (915 nucleotides) under Triticum aestivum (bread wheat). RNAcentral describes it as "partial small subunit ribosomal RNA". Lineage: Eukaryota; Viridiplantae; Streptophyta; Magnoliopsida; Poales; Poaceae. The record is from RNAcentral.
AUGUCGACGCAGAUGUCCAGGCAGUCGUUGCCGGCCAGCGUCUUGGCCAUCCUCGCGGCGGCGUCCACCUCGCCGUCCGUGCCGAGUUCAUACUCGUCCAUUUCUCCCACGGCGCCGGCAUCGUCCUCGGGCGCGGCGUGCUUGAGCCUGAGCAGGACCGCCUCGAAGAGAUCCUGGAGGCCGAGCAGCGCCUCGUCGAGCGGGCCCUCGAAGCGCAUCGCCUCCGCCUCCGUCUCGUACACGGCGCGCAGCGCGGAGGCCGCCUCGGUGAGCCGCCGCACCCGACCGCGGCCGGCGGCUUUGGUGGUGGUGCGGCCAAGGAACCCCACCGCCUCCUCGACCCUCCGGACGGCCUCGUCCCCUCGCGCCACCACGUCCUCGAUGGCGUCGCGCAUCUGGUCCACGCGGUCGACGAAGGCGACGGCGCUCUCGGUGUCGGCCGGGUUCUCCGGGAGCUGCGCGGCCUCCUCGGCGAGGGAAGACACCCGGCGCAGAGCCGCGAGGAGUGGCUCGGCGGGGGCGACGGCGCGGUCGAUGCGCGCGCGCAGUGCACGCGCCGCCACGGCCUUGGACUGGAGGUUGGAGGAGGACGGCGAAGAGGCGCUGGACAGGAGGUCAGUGAGGCGGUCGCCGGCCUCGUCGAUGGCAGCUUCCGCCCCGGCAGCGUCGGAAAGCGCGGAGACGAUGGCGGCUCGCGAGGCACGAAGCUUUGCAAGGACGGUGUCGUCCAUGCCAGCGCCGGUCACCGGGGCGGUGGUGGGGCACAUGGCCGGCCGGCCGGCUUGUAAGUACGUGCGGGCGUGCGUAUUGGUAUGUGCUGCACAUUGCUGGCGCCAAGUAUUAUAUGCCCGCCACGAGAAAGCUGGACCGCGUGAUCGCGGAUGGACGGUCAGAGCAAGGCCUGAGUCUUCUUAG